This 23-nucleotide non-coding RNA is filed under the name Arabidopsis thaliana (thale cress). The record is from RNAcentral. Lineage: Eukaryota; Viridiplantae; Streptophyta; Magnoliopsida; Brassicales; Brassicaceae.
CGAUCGCACUUCUACGUUCGCGA